GCAAGUCGAACGCGAAAGGGACUUCGGUCCUGAGUAAAGUGGCGCACGGGUGAGUAACGCGUGGAUAAUCUGCCCUUAUGAUUGGAAUAACAGUUGGAAACGGCUGCUAAUACCGGAUACGCUCAAAAUGAACUUUUUGAGGAAAGAUGACCUCUGCUUGCAAGUUAUCGCAUAAGGAUGAGUCCGCGUCCCAUUAGCUAGUUGGUGGGGUAAUGGCCCACCAAGGCUUCGAUGGGUAGCCGAUUUGAGAGGAUGAUCGGCCACACUGGAACUGAAACACGGUCCAGACUCCUACGGGAGGCAGCAGUGGGGAAUAUUGCGCAAUGGGCGAAAGCCUGACGCAGCGACGCCGCGUGAGGGAUGAAGGUUUUCGGAUCGUAAACCUCUGUCAGAAGGGAAGAAACUGUGCUGUGCUAAUCAGCAGUGCAUUGACGGUACCUUCAAAGGAAGCACCGGCUAACUCCGUGCCAGCAGCCGCGGUAAUACGGAGGUGCAAGCGUUAGUCGGAAUUACUGGGCGUAAAGCGCACGUAGGCUGUUGUGUAAGUCAGGGGUGAAAUCCCACGGCUCAACCGUGGAACUGCCUUUGAUACUGCGCGACUUGAAU
Molecule: ribosomal RNA, 606 nt
Filed under: uncultured Desulfovibrio sp.
Lineage: Bacteria; Pseudomonadati; Thermodesulfobacteriota; Desulfovibrionia; Desulfovibrionales; Desulfovibrionaceae
Description: bacterial SSU rRNA
Rfam family: Bacterial small subunit ribosomal RNA
Source: RNAcentral